This 253-nucleotide ribosomal RNA is filed under the name uncultured bacterium. RNAcentral's name for it is "partial 16S ribosomal RNA". It matches the Rfam family "Bacterial small subunit ribosomal RNA", at positions 524 to 776 of the family's 1533-position model. The record is from RNAcentral.
UACGUAGGGAGCAAGCGUUGUCCGGAAUCAUUGGGCGUAAAGCGCGCGUAGGUGGCUUCGUAAGUCCGUUGUGAAAGUCAAAGGCUCAACCUUUGAAAGCCGAUGGAUACUGUGGAGCUAGAGUACGGAAGAGGCGAGUGGAAUUCCUGGUGUAGCGGUGGAAUGCGUAGAGAUCCGGAGGAACACCGACGGCGAAGGCAGCGCCCUGGCCGCCAUCUGACGCUCAGGCACGAAAGCUGGGGGAGCGAACAGG